AAGUCGUAACAAGGUUUCCGUAGGUGAACCUGCGGAAGGAUCAUUCACACAAAGUCCAUAGCCUCGGCUAUGUGAUUUACAACCAAAAACUAAAACCAAACGCGAACUGUACAACCCUUUUUCAAAAUAACCAAAUGCCUUGUUACGCGGUAGAUGAAAGUCUAUGCGGUGUUCUUGGCGAGUUUACCUGUCGGCUGAUGAUGCUCUGAGCAAUCCGGGCUAGUCAGUUGUUAAUUUUGUUGUUAGUCCUAUAGCGGUGGAUUCCCUAUAGGCGGAAAUGUAGAAAUACGCAAUAUAUACAACUCUUUGCAAUGGAUAUCUUGGUUCUC
Molecule: unclassified non-coding RNA, 329 nt
Filed under: fungal sp.
Lineage: Eukaryota; Fungi
Description: partial internal transcribed spacer region
Rfam family: Eukaryotic small subunit ribosomal RNA (bases 1-46)
Source: RNAcentral